GACGAGCGCUGGCGGCGUGCUUAACACAUGCAAGUCGAACGGAAAGGCCCUGCUUUUGUGGGGUGCUCGAGUGGCGAACGGGUGAGUAACACGUGAGUAACCUGCCCUUGACUUUGGGAUAACUUCAGGAAACUGGGGCUAAUACCGGAUAGGAGCUCCUGCUGCAUGGUGGGGGUUGGAAAGUUUCGGCGGUUGGGGAUGGACUCGCGGCUUAUCAGCUUGUUGGUGGGGUAGUGGCUUACCAAGGCUUUGACGGGUAGCCGGCCUGAGAGGGUGACCGGCCACAUUGGGACUGAGAUACGGCCCAGACUCCUACGGUAGGCAGCAGGGGGGAAUAUGGCACAAUGGGCGGAAGCCUGAUGAAGCAACGCCGCGUGCGGGAUGACGGCCUUCGGGUUGUAAACCGCUUUCGCCUGUGACGAAGCGUGAGUGACGGUAAUGAGUAAAGAAGCACCGGCUAACUACGUG
This 468-nucleotide ribosomal RNA is filed under the name uncultured bacterium. RNAcentral describes it as "partial 16S ribosomal RNA". It matches the Rfam family "Bacterial small subunit ribosomal RNA", at positions 28 to 507 of the family's 1533-position model. The record is from RNAcentral.